CUAUGGGUUAGGUGAGAGUUGACGAAGGGAGGAAACGUAAGGGAAUUGUGCGCCUUCACCACCGGCCAACCCACAGCCGCGCCUUCCCACCCGAGCUGAGUAGUCCGCCGCCGUCUGUAAGAUCCGCGCAGAGCUCCUGAACAGCCGCGACGCGGAGGCAACCAGCAGAUCCUCGCCCCCGACCUCGAGUGGUGGUUCCACGGCCCGCCCUCGCACCAGUUAUCCGACUUCAGCUUGGUGGUUCCACGGCCCGUCCUGCUGGAGAUCUGCACGCAGUCGGCCGCCCAACGACUUUGACGUGAGGAACUUGACGGAGUCCAGCCGGACCAGAUCGGAGUCCUCCCCCAGAUCCGCGCACAGCAGCGCACCGCCGCACAGCAGCGUGAGUUGCAGCAGCGUGCCCCGCCG
This 408-nucleotide long non-coding RNA is filed under the name Salvia miltiorrhiza (redroot sage). Its description in RNAcentral is "long non-coding RNA (SMIL_LNC003122)". The record is from RNAcentral. Lineage: Eukaryota; Viridiplantae; Streptophyta; Magnoliopsida; Lamiales; Lamiaceae.